ACCCCAUCCACGUUAUCGAACCCACAUGACACCAGGAUGUACACGUUUAUAGAGGGGCAACUGAUAUAUCGGAUCAUUAUUUAAUUGUAGCUACUGCUAGAGUAAGAGGUAGAUGGGAAAAGAGGAAAAUGGCAACAACAAGCAAGAGGGAGGUGAAAGUGUAUAAACUAAGGGAGGAUUAUGUUCAGGUGAGAUAUAAGCUGGUGGGCUGGUGCAAAUAUUAGUAGUUAGGGGGUUGAAGAGGGUUGGAAUAGUUUUAAAAAUGCAGUAAUAGAAUGUGGGGCAGAAGUUUGUGGUUAUAGGAGAGUGGGUGCAGGAGGAAUGAGGAGUGAUUGGUGGAAUGAUGAAGUAAAGGGUGUGAUAAAAGAGGAAAAGUUAGCUUAUGAGAGGUUUUUACAAAGCAGAAGUGUUAUAAGAAGAAUAGAGUAUAUGGAGAGCAAAAGAAAGAUGAGAGUGGUGAGAGAGUGCAAAAGAAGAGCAGAUAAUAGAAUAGGAGAGGCACUGUCAAGAAAUUUUAAUGAAAAUAAGAAAAAAUUUUGGAGUCUGUUAAACAAGUUAAGAAAGCCUAGAGAAUGAAUUGAUUUGUCAGUUAAAAACAGAGUAGGGGAGUUAGUAGAUGGGGAGAUGGAGGUUUUGGGUAGAUGGCGAGAAUAUUUUGAGGAACUUUUAAAUGUUGACGAAGAAAGGGAAGCGGUAAUUUCAUGCACUGGCCAGGGAGGUAUGCUGUGGAAAUUUAUUCUGUCCUAAAGUUCCACAGGGCCAAUACGUCGUACAAAGAUCCCAGCAUGUCAUGGAUGGAACGGCUGGGUUGGGUGGCCCUUACACCCACCCAAAACACACACACACACACACACCCGGGUUGGCGAGGGUGGUUGGAAGGUACUUCUUAAUUGAUAGAUUUACCCUUCAAGGAAGAGUUUUGUGUCCCUUGCUGGAUUAUCUAUUGAUCACAAGAUUCUCUGGGAUCCCCAUGUUGGAGAGUUAUGGUCGGAAAAAGUGGGGUACUUCACCUCAGUACCAAGCCUAUGUCAAGAACACACCACCUCUGGUACCCUUCAUUGGUUAAUCCAAGUUAUAGUGUUCAGUUAGUGAAAAAUUACUGUGAUUUAUUAAUGAAAACAGAGUACUGUAAUUAGAACAUUAAAAAUUUUUCAGUAGGCAGA
Cherax quadricarinatus is the source of this 1163-nucleotide non-coding RNA. The record is from RefSeq and is a predicted model, not a curated record. Lineage: Eukaryota; Metazoa; Arthropoda; Malacostraca; Decapoda; Parastacidae.